ACGGGAGGCAGCAGUAGGGAAUAUUGGACAAUGGGGGAAACCCUGAUCCAGCGACGCCGCGUGAGUGAAGAAAUAUUUCGGUAUGUAAAGCUCUAUCAGCAGGGAAGAAAAUGACGGUACCUGACUAAGAAGCACCGGCUAACUACGUGCCAGCAGCCGCGGUAAUACGUAGGUUGCAAGCGUUGUCCGGAUUUACUGGGUGUAAAGGGCGUGUAGGCGGAACUGCAAGUCAGAUGUGAAAUCCCGGGGCUCAACCCCGGAACUGCAUUUGAAACUGUAGUCCUUGAGUAUCGGAGAGGCAAGCGGAAUUCCUAGUGUAGCGGUGAAAUGCGUAGAUAUUAGGAGGAACACCAGUGGCGAAGGCGGCUUACUGGACGAUAACUGACGUUGAGGCUCGAAAGCGUGGGGAGCAAACAGGAUUAGAUACCCUGGUA
Molecule: ribosomal RNA, 434 nt
Filed under: uncultured Clostridium sp.
Lineage: Bacteria; Bacillati; Bacillota; Clostridia; Eubacteriales; Clostridiaceae
Description: partial 16S ribosomal RNA
Rfam family: Bacterial small subunit ribosomal RNA
Source: RNAcentral